Molecule: non-coding RNA, 26 nt
Filed under: Homo sapiens (human)
Lineage: Eukaryota; Metazoa; Chordata; Mammalia; Primates; Hominidae
Source: RNAcentral
UGGUGUCCGUCUUCACCAUGUGUGUA